Molecule: long non-coding RNA, 5521 nt
Organism: Dama dama (fallow deer)
Lineage: Eukaryota; Metazoa; Chordata; Mammalia; Artiodactyla; Cervidae
Exons: 3
Source: RefSeq, a predicted model, not a curated record
GUCUGGACUCUGAGAUUGACUACACCUGAGAUGACCUUGACUCGCUCUCAUACUGGCCUGACUUUCUUUGUCUUCCGUGGCCUCUUCCCUCACCUGGGCGGGGGCUCUUGCGAGGAGCCGCGGGGCUCCUGCCGGCUCUGCGCGGCUCCCGUCCCCGGGCGGCCCGGCAGCCCUCCUGCUCCAGGACGUUCGCUGUGGUUUCCGCGGUACCAGCGUCUGACGGUCGGAAAAGGGGGCCCUCUCACCUCGGCGGGACGCCCGGCGGCGUGGAUGAUCCCCGAGGGCGCACUUCUAACCAGCUGCCCUUCCAAGCUGAGGCUUCAUCCUUUUCCGGCCUUUGUUGCAAAUAAGCGACGGAGCUGCGAGUAGGUGGGACCCCCGUCGAUGUUUAUUUUAUUACUUUCCACCAUUUGUGCAGAAAAUGUACACAACCCUCUCUUAUCUUUUUUCAGGCAGUUUUAAAGGCAUUCAGCAUGGGGUCUGAAAAAUGACGGGCCAUGGAGAGCUCUGUUGUUUUUGGUGUUUGGGGAAAAGAUCUGCUUUGGAGAUUAGACUGGAUUGUGUGCCUGCCGAGAGCUGGGAGCUGGCAGGAAUGGCUUUUUUUUUCUGAAGGCAGCUGCCCGAGGGGUCCCGGCUCCAGGCCAGGAGUCUGUGGUCCCCAGGACCUGGAGGUGGGAUGGGCUGGAACAGGAGAGCAGCAGGUGACAGCGCGCUCAUCGAAUGCCAUCCUGGUGUGAACUCUGGAUGUGGUACGAAGGCGUUUUAUGGGGCAGAUAAGCCAGAGCUUGAGGUGUGGGCCAGUCGGCUGCUGCAGAGUCUAAGGGAGGCCUGGAGUCUAAGAGACACUCCAGGGCCAGGGUGAGAGCUUUAGGAGAUGCGGAGUGAGCUUUCUAAAGGAAGACCCCGCUGACUGUGGUGGACAGAAGGCCACUCGGAAGGUUGGAAAGACCCCCAGGUGCUGGAAUGCAGGCCCCAGGAAGCCAGAAGUUCCUUCUCCAUCCUGCUGCGCCCCCAGUCCUUGCCGCAAGCACUGUCUCACUGUGCCACCCCUGAGGCCGUGCUGCGCUGCUCUUCGUUCUCCCUUGUUGCCUUUACCGCCCUCUUACUCCGAGAAGUCCUCCCCUUCUGCAGGUACAGGAGGACGGCGAUGGAUGGAGGUUGACCUCCCCUCUGCAUCGUGCGCACGGCGCCCUUCAAGCCAGUGCAGACCCUGCAGUCAUUUCACAAUGUGCUGUUUGAAGGUUCCCUACAAAGGCUUGGAGACAUCUGCUCCCUAACUUUCAACCCCUCGGGGAUCAGCACUGAUGGGUUAAUGGUAAAUGCCCGGACGUGGAACCUGACCAAACACUUGUAGGUUUGAAAGACCCAUCUAUUUUUUCAUUUAUUCCCUGGCCCUUGAACUUGUGUGGAGAUGAGGAAGUAAACCUGGCCAAGUGUGACCUCACGUCUCAGUGAUCACCAGGGUUCCUUGAACCUGGAAGAGGGCACGGCAACCCGCUCCAGGAUUCUUGCCUGGAGAAUUCCACGGACAGAGGAGUCUGGCAGGCUGUAGUCCAUGGGGUUGCAAAGAGUCGGAUACAACUCGGCGACUAACCCUUUCUUCACUUUCUUUCUUCUUGGGCUCCUGGAAGUGGUUUUAGGCAAAGGACGGAUGUGCGUCCAUCUCCAGACAAGGACUAACUUAGCUGCAAAACCUCGGUGGGGUUUGAACUCACUGUAACCUGAUGUUCACUGCUCCAUGCCUAAACCACAGUGUGCGAUUCCUGAAAUGGAAGGGACUCGGUGGACCUGACUCCACUGGAGACGUCGGAGCUGGCCCAGGUGCACACGGCCUCCUGGCCCCAAAGGAACCAGGGAAUCGCCUCUCUCACUGUCCCCUGCCCCCUGGACACCCGAGCUUCUUGCUGGGUUCCCUCAGCAGGAGCCACCUUUGGCCUCUGGGUCUGAAGAAAAGGUGAACUUCGGUUGCCUGCCCUGGGGUCCCAGGCCUCUGACUCUGUGAGAGCGGCCGUGUUGGGGCCCCAGUCCACAGGCGUGGCUCAGAUCCGAGCUCCAUCACUUGUGGGACGGGGUUGGACUGAAAGCUGGGGCCUAACGGCCUCUUCAGCGCCCAGGCCCAGCUCCCUGGGCAUACCUUGCUCAUGGUGAAAGGGCAGGAAGCGGGGAGCCUUGGCUCUGGCUAGGCCUCCUCGCUGAUCUGGCUGGCUCAUGAUGACGUGGGGCCCUCAGGGGGAGCCUGCAGGGGUCCCUGACACAGAGCCCGCCUCGCUGGCCUGCACUUGGUCACUUCUCUUCCUGCUGCUACUCGGCUGGGGACUCGGUUUAAGCAAGGACCCAGCACUGUCCGGCCUUGUUCACCAGGUACACACCCAAGGGCUGCGCUGGAAGUUUCUCUGGAGACCGCAGGGGUCCUGACCACAAGAAGCCUGGAAGGGGGUGCGUCUGAGCCUCCCCUCAGCCCCCGGAACUGCCCCUUCGGCCUGCUGUCACAAGGAUCCGGUGAGAAGGGGAGAUGGCAGACGGGACCGCUGUGUCCUUGGAACGAGACGGUGUGUACAGGGCCCACCCAGCCCUCCCCGCCUCCACUGGGAGCCCCAGAUCCUGCGGGUACAACUUACCAUGGGCAGUUGGACCUAUGGAGACCAGACGUCUUUGCAAAUGUUCAAAAACUCCCUUCAAAAUCCCACAGGGCCCCCAUCAAACUCCUUAAUCUUGGCUAAAUUAAACUAAGCACUGACUGUGAACCAGUUAGAAAUAUGACGGGGGCUUCCCUGGCGGUCCAGUGGCCAGACUGCGUUUCCUCUGUAGGACUGCGCGUUCCACACCUAGUGGGACAGCUAAGACCCUGCAGAACUAAGAUCCAUGGCACGACCACCAUUUUUUUUAAUUAAAAAAAAAAUUACUAUGACAGCACUGUUCUACAAUUUUAUGCCCCAAAGUAUUGGCCACUCAAAAUAGUUUAUAUUUUUAAAUGAAUAGCUUAUGACAUCAUUCAUGUGUUUAGAGCAUUUCAGAAAGCUUUUUGUUUUGGAAAGUUCCACAUAGUUAUUGUAAAAGGUAGAGAAAAUAGGAUAAUGAACUCCCACAUACCCAAGAUUCCACUUCAGCCACUCCCAACUGAUGGCCAAUAUUAUUUUAUCCUUAUUCCUUUCCAUUCCUCUGUCACCUACAUUUUUAAAAAAACAAACCACAGACAUCAUAUAAUUUUAUCUAUAUUUCACUAUGUUAUUCUAAAGAUAAGAAGUCAUUAAAAAAUAAGCAAAUUCCAUUAUCAUACCUACAAAAUUAAUAGUAAUUUUAACAUUAAAUACUCAGUAUUCAAAUUUUCAAUUAUCUUAAAAUGUAAGGUUAUUUUAAAGUCAUUUUUACUGAGGUGCAUUUUUUGUAUAAUAAAAUGUACCUAUAUUAAGGGUGCAGGUAAACUGACAAAUCUAUACACUCCUGUAACCACCAUCAUAUCAAGAUAUAGAAUAUUUUUGCCACCACAGUAAGCUGCUUCCUACACUUGCUGUCAACUUCACCUCCUUUUCUAUCCUCAGCCCCAGGCUACUUGGCUUUUUUUUUUUUUUUUAAUUUAUGUACUGCAAGAAGAUCCAACCAGUUCAUCCUAAAGGAAAUCAGUCCCGAAUAUUCAUUGCAAGGACUGAUGCUGACGGUGAAACUCCAAUACUUUGGCCGCUUGAUGCGAAGAACUGACUCGUUGGAAAAAACCCUGAUGCUGGGAAAGAUUGAAGGUGGGAGGAGAAGGGGACGACAGAGGAUGAGAUGGUUGGAUGGCAUCACAGACUCAGUGGACGUGAGUCUGAGUAAGCUCCAGGAGUUGGUGAUGGACAGGGAGGCCUGGCGUGCCGCGGUCCAUGGGGUCUCAGAGAGAUGGACACGACUUAGCGACUGAACAACAACAAAACGUUUAUGUGAAUGUAGGAAUUAUAGGAUAUAUGUUUAUGUAUCUUUUUUUUUUUCUGGCCACUUAAAACAUUUCCUGCCAACUACUGGUUCUCAGCAGUUUGACUGAUGCCCCUCACUGCGGUUUGUCUUUGCCGCCUACUCCCUGUCUUCUUCCUGGACUCUGACUGCACACAUCUGACUACUUGGUAAUUAACCUACAGGUUGCUGAGCUUGUGUGUCUGUGUUUUGUCUUUUUUCCUCUCUAUUUGAACAUUUUCCAUUGCAGUGUCUUCAUAUUCACUGAUCUUUCUUUUGGAAUAUCUGAUCUAAUGUUACAGUUAAAUUUUUUCAACAGAUACUAUACUUUUCUUCUCUAGAAGUCCCAUUUGAUUCUUUUUUUAAAAAAAUAUUUUUCAUCUUUCUCUUCAUCAUGUGCAUGUUUUCCUUUUAGAUUUUAAAUAUACGUAUAAUAGAUUUUUAGGUGUCCUUGUCCGCUGUUUCCAGCCUCUCUAUCAUUUGUAGAUUUGUUUCUUUUGACUGAUUUUCCUUCUUGUUAUGGGUAAAAAUUUGCUGAUUUUUUUUGCAUGUCUAGUAAUUUUUAAUUGGAUGCAGGACAUGAACUUUAGGUCACUGAAUGUUUGGAUUUUUUUUUAAAGAGUUUUUGAAUUUGUUUUGCUUGAAAAUUAAGUUACAUGUUUCUGAUUAACCCUUACCAAAUUUAUUUAUUUAUUUAAAUUGGAGUAUAUUGCUUUACAACGUCGUGGUCAUUUCUUCUGUACAACAGCAUGAAUCGGACAUGUGUACACAUAUAUCCGCCCCCUCUCGAGCCUCCCACUCUACCACCCCCACCCCACCCAGUCCUCCGGGUCAUCGCAGAGCACCAGGCUGAGCUCUGGGCACUGUCCUGCAGCGGCCCCCGGCUGUCUGUCUGCGCGUGGCAGCGUAUGAGCGUCAGCGCCACGCUCUCGAUCUGCCCCGCUCUGUGUCCCAUCCCCAUGUCUCUAAGUCCGUGCCAGCUUUGUUCUUCAGCCCUUUUUAGGGUAGCUCUAGACUAGUCUGCAGUCAGUCCCGUCACUACGAUGCGCCACUUCUGGUAUCUCCACCUACCGCCCUGGGUGUUUGGGCAGGCAUGUCCACUGCAGCUGGUUGGAAGCUGUAGCUCUCCUAGCCCUGCAAAGUCUAGGAACCGUCACAAUCGCAGUUCUUCAGUUCUCUGUCCAGCCUUGCAGAUGCCCCCCCACCCCCCACCCCAUGAAUGGUCUGAAUUUGCCCAGGCUCGAGGGCCCCUGCAGACUUUUGGACGCUUCUGUGCACAGUUCUCUCUGGCACUUGGCCCCUCACACCCCAGCAGACAUGUCCCUCAGCUCAGACGGGGACUUCCUCCGCUGCUUCUGUCCUUUUACUGUUGUUUUAAAUUUACUUUAAGGCAAAAAUGAAGGAUGACUGUAAUCUCUGUGAUCAGCAUCAUACUGUUUGAUAUCUUAUGUCUAAAAAUGUUUUUAUUUGUAUUUUUCCCAAUUUUCUAUUUGUUCAGCAGAGAAAAAUAAUCUAUUCUGGUUUCUCCUUCAUAGCCAGAAAUAUAAGCCAUGACGUUAAGACACAGUUUAUGUACUCGAAUUGGUAUUCAAAUAAA